AACCUCAAGACCUCAGUGUUCCUGGGUUGAAUUUCUUUUGGACUAUCAAGUACAAGAAUGGAUGGACUUUGGACCAGACACCUUCUAUGUGAUCCAUGGAAUGCAGAAAACACAUAUACCAAGUACUUACAGAAGCAGAUGAAAAUUGUUUCAACACACAUUGCAUAGACGCUGAAGAACCCAUGUGCAAUUAGGGAACUGCCUCACCCAAAGUCACACCUCCAACCACAGCUCAGCGUGUGGCCAACAGCUGCCUGAUAAUGCACACAUGGGCCCAUCCCUUAUGCCAGAACUUCCGGUAAUUACGUCUGAGGUCAGCGUGGGUCAGCUUAUCCUGCUACCCUGUCCUCUCCUCCUCACUUCCUCACUUCCCUAGGAAUGUAUCUCAGGAAAGAACUUCCUAAUUACCUUCUGCAUAAAUCUUGUUUUAGGGGUUGUUUCUAAGAAAUCCAGUCUCUGAAGCAGAAUGGAGGGUGACACAAAGUGAGACUGAUAACACUAGCUAUUAUUUUUUCUACUCCUUUUCAGUUUUGAUUUUGCUGUCUCUGGUAAAUCAUACAGUCAAUAACACACAGCUGCUAUGGACUGAAUUGUGAGCCCUACAAAUUCCUAAUCUCCAACACAAUGGAAAUAGAAGGUGAGGCUUUGGGGCGGAAGAGAUGAGGUUAAUAUCCCUAUGUGGGAUUGGUGCUCUUAUAAGAAGAGACACAAAUAUAAGGAUAUUGCAAAGUGUACUCCUGCACACCAGGAAAAGGACCUCCCCAGGAACUGAACUGGCUGGCACUUUGUUUGAUCUUGGAUAUUCCAGCCUCCAGAAAGGUGAGGAAUAAAUUUCUGUUGUCCAAGCCACCCAGUCUAUGAUAUUGUGAUAGCAGCUCCAACUAAGACACGAGCUCUUACCAGCAAAGGUACCCAGUAGUAAUUUAAGGAAGUUGGCCCUUCCACAAGUGUUGGCAUUCUUUCUGUGAAGAGUAAGAAGGCCAGGACACCUGCAUUGAAAAGGCAGAGCAUGUGGAUUGUGCAUUUGCAAAGGAAGAUUGCUUUUUGUAGUAAAAUAGUUUUCCAAGCAUCUUUUAAACUUUUUAAAUUAUUAUUACUCACCUAUUAUCCCACAGACUAGAAUUUUCCCCAGGAUUAAUAUAAAGAAUGUAACUUCAUCUGUCACUGCAACUCUAUCAGAAAAAAAAAAAAAAAAAAAGAAAGUGUAA
Lepus europaeus (European hare) is the source of this 1208-nucleotide long non-coding RNA. RefSeq lists it as uncharacterized. The record is from RefSeq and is a predicted model, not a curated record. The transcript is spliced from 3 exons. Lineage: Eukaryota; Metazoa; Chordata; Mammalia; Lagomorpha; Leporidae.